AUUGAACGCUGGCGGCAGGCCUAACACAUGCAAGUCGAGCGGAUGAAGGGAGCUUGCUCCUGGAUUCAGCGGCGGACGGGUGAGUAAUGCCUAGGAAUCUGCCUGGUAGUGGGGGAUAACGUCCGGAAACGGGCGCUAAUACCGCAUACGUCCUGAGGGAGAAAGUGGGGGAUCUUCGGACCUCACGCUAUCAGAUGAGCCUAGGUCGGAUUAGCUAGCUGGUGGGGUAAAGGCCUACCAAGGCGACGAUCCGUAACUGGUCUGAGAGGAUGAUCAGUCACACUGGAACUGAGACACGGUCCAGACUCCUACGGGAGGCAGCAGUGGGGAAUAUUGGACAAUGGGCGAAAGCCUGAUCCAGCCAUGCCGCGUGUGUGAAGAAGGUCUUCGGAUUGUAAAGCACUUUAAGUUGGGAGGAAGGGCAGUAAGUUAAUACCUUGAUGUUUUGACGUUACCAACAGAAUAAGCACCGGCUAACUUCGUG
This 484-nucleotide ribosomal RNA is filed under the name uncultured bacterium. Its description in RNAcentral is "partial 16S ribosomal RNA". It matches the Rfam family "Bacterial small subunit ribosomal RNA", at positions 30 to 507 of the family's 1533-position model. The record is from RNAcentral.